This 254-nucleotide ribosomal RNA is filed under the name uncultured bacterium. RNAcentral's name for it is "partial 16S ribosomal RNA". It matches the Rfam family "Bacterial small subunit ribosomal RNA", at positions 524 to 776 of the family's 1533-position model. The record is from RNAcentral.
UACAGAGGUCUCAAGCGUUGUUCGGAUUCAUUGGGCGUAAAGGGUGCGUAGGUGGCGCUGUAAGUCGGGUGUGAAAUUUCGGAGCUUAACUCCGAAACUGCAUUCGAUACUGCGGUGCUUGAGGGACUGGAGAGGAGACUGGAAUUCAUGGUGUAGCAGUGAAAUGCGUAGAGAUCAUGAGGAAGACCAGUGGCGAAGGCGGGUCUCUGGACAGUUCCUGACACUGAGGCACGAAGGCCAGGGGAGCAAACGGG